UGUGAUCAAAUGCGAGUACCUCCCUCGGCGGCCUUGGCCGUCCUCGUAGCCGCAUCCUGGACACUAGCACGGGUCAUGGGUUUGCCUUUCACCUAUUGAAUGGGACAAGCWUGCGAAGCGCUACGUUGACCUCUGUGCGGCUGUCCUCUUGGAYACGAUCACACGGGUUGUUUGAGAUCAAAACAGGUGUCUAGGCACCAAUUGGUCUGAUUCUCAAACAUAUUCGAAUCCACCAGGUGGCCAAGCACAUGAUAGCUUUUGGAUCAGUCGCUUUAAGAGUCSCUUUGAGAUAAAAAAAUGGGUGUCCGGUUCCUUCAAGAUCAAACAACGGGUGCCUCGGUGCCUGGUUUGUUCGARAUAAAAGACGGAU
RNAcentral lists this unclassified non-coding RNA (370 nucleotides) under Dahlia excelsa. RNAcentral's name for it is "partial external transcribed spacer". Lineage: Eukaryota; Viridiplantae; Streptophyta; Magnoliopsida; Asterales; Asteraceae. The record is from RNAcentral.